RNAcentral lists this ribosomal RNA (472 nucleotides) under uncultured bacterium. RNAcentral's name for it is "SSU rRNA". It matches the Rfam family "Bacterial small subunit ribosomal RNA", at positions 26 to 518 of the family's 1533-position model. The record is from RNAcentral.
AGGACGAACGCUGGCGGCGUGCUUAACACAUGCAAGUCGAGCGGAAAGGCCCUUCGGGGUACUCGAGCGGCGAACGGGUGAGUAACACGUGAGUAACCUGCCCCUAGCUCUGGGAUAGCUCCGGGAAACCGGGAUUAAUACCAGAUACGACCACUUUAGACAUCUGUCGUGGUGGAAAGGAUUCCGGCUAGGGAUGGGCUCGCGGCCUAUCAGCUUGUUGGUGGGGUAACGGCCUACCAAGGCGACGACGGGUAGCCGGCCUGAGAGGGCGACCGGCCACACUGGGACUGAGACACGGCCCAGACUCCUACGGGAGGCAGCAGUGGGAAUAUUGCGCAAUGGGCGAAAGCCUGACGCAGCGACGCCGCGUGGGGGAUGAAGGCCUUCGGGUUGUAAACCCUUUCAGCAGGGACGAAGCGAAAGUGACGGUACCUGCAGAAGAAGCGCCGGCUAACUACGUGCCAGCAGCCGC